AUUGAACGCUGGCGGCAUGCCUUACACAUGCAAGUCGAACGGUAACAGGUUAAGCUGACGAGUGGCGAACGGGUGAGUAAUAUAUCGGAACGUGCCCAGUCGUGGGGGAUAACGCAGCGAAAGCUGUGCUAAUACCGCAUACGAUCUAUGGAUGAAAGCGGGGGAUCGCAAGACCUCGCGCGAUUGGAGCGGCCGAUAUCAGAUUAGCUAGUUGGUGGGGGAAAGGCCCACCAAGGCGACGAUCUGUAGCUGGUCUGAGAGGACGACCAGCCACACUGGAACUGAGACACGGUCCAGACUCCUACGGGAGGCAGCAGUGGGGAAUUUUGGACAAUGGGCGCAAGCCUGAUCCAGCAAUGCCGCGUGCAGGACGAAGGCCUUCGGGUUGUAAACUGCUUUUGUACGGAACGAAACGGUUCUCUCUAAUACAGGGGGCUAAUGACGGUACCGUAAGAAUAAGCACCGGCUAACUACGUGCCAGCCGCCGCGGUAA
RNAcentral lists this ribosomal RNA (493 nucleotides) under uncultured bacterium. RNAcentral's name for it is "partial 16S ribosomal RNA". It matches the Rfam family "Bacterial small subunit ribosomal RNA", at positions 30 to 523 of the family's 1533-position model. The record is from RNAcentral.